UACGGGAGGCAGCGGUGGGGAAUAUUGCACAAUGGGCGAAAGCCUGAUGCAGCUAUGCCGCGUGUAUGAAGAAGGCCUUAGGGUUGUAAAGUACUUUCAUCGGGGAGGAAAAAACAAAACUAAUAAUUUUAUUUCUUGACGUUACCCGAAAAAGAAGCACCGGCUAACUCCGUGCCAGCAGCCGCGGUAAUACGGAGGGUGCUAGCGUUAAUCAGAAUUACUGGGCGUAAAGAGCACGUAGGUGGUUUUUUUAAAGUCAGAUGUGAAAUCCCUGGGCUUAACCUAGGAACUGCAUUUUGAAACUGAAAUACUAGAGUAUCGUAGAGGGAGGUAGAAUUCUAGGUGUAGCGGUGAAAUGCGUAGAUAUCUGGAGGAAUACCUGUGGCGAAAGCGGCCUCCUAAACGAAUACUGACACUGAGGUGCGAAAGCGUGGGGAGCAAACAGGGAUUAGAUACCCGU
This 460-nucleotide ribosomal RNA is filed under the name uncultured bacterium. Its description in RNAcentral is "bacterial SSU rRNA". It matches the Rfam family "Bacterial small subunit ribosomal RNA", at positions 340 to 789 of the family's 1533-position model. The record is from RNAcentral.